UUUAAUAAUUUAAUUUUGGAUGUAACGCGUCUUCUGAUUGGCUGACGUUAUUUUGUUAUGAGCCCAUAGACAUAAUUAAGUCAUGUGACCGUGACGUCAUCAACGUUUUUUCAUGGUUUUCUACGGUUUAAAAUGGAAUUUAGAAUUAAGUUAUAAGAAAUGACUGUAAUAUUUUUUCUGUCUAUUCGAAAUAACAUCAAAAAUGUGGUGCACAC
RNAcentral lists this long non-coding RNA (215 nucleotides) under Mytilus galloprovincialis (Mediterranean mussel). Lineage: Eukaryota; Metazoa; Mollusca; Bivalvia; Mytilida; Mytilidae. The record is from RNAcentral.